GCGCAUGGGUUGAAGUCACACAACACUUCAGUAAGCAUCGUGAAAUUAAUUCUGCAUCGAAAAGUCCUUCUGCAAGAAGACAUCUCUUCAGAUUAAUUUUCGUUGCCUUCCACGUGUUGUGAAAUUUUCAACCAAGCAUGAGAAAUAUUGAUGGAUGUGAGAUUAAGUGGAUAGUUAUGAGAUGAUGCUUGGAUGGGGCACG
Molecule: long non-coding RNA, 202 nt
Filed under: Elaeis guineensis (African oil palm)
Lineage: Eukaryota; Viridiplantae; Streptophyta; Magnoliopsida; Arecales; Arecaceae
Description: long non-coding RNA (EGUI_LNC043508)
Source: RNAcentral